GUGGGGAAUAUUGCACAAUGGGGGAAACCCUGAUGCAGCGACGCCGCGUGAGUGAAGAAGUAAUUCGUUAUGUAAAGCUCUAUCAGCAGGGAAGAAAAUGACGGUACCUGACUAAGAAACCCCGGCUAACUACGUGCCAGCAGCCGCGGUAAUACGUAGGGGGCAAGCGUUAUCCGGAUUUACUGGGUGUAAAGGGAGCGUAGACGGCCGUGCAAGUCUGAUGUGAAAGGCUGGGGCUCAACCCCGGGACUGCAUUGGAAACUGUAUGGCUGGAGUGCCGGAGAGGUAAGCGGAAUUCCUAGUGUAGCGGUGAAAUGCGUAGAUAUUAGGAGGAACACCAGUGGCGAAGGCGGCUUACUGGACGGUAACUGACGUUGAGGCUCGAAAGCGUGGGGAGCAAACAGGAUUAGAUACCCGAGUAGUCC
RNAcentral lists this ribosomal RNA (425 nucleotides) under uncultured bacterium. RNAcentral's name for it is "bacterial SSU rRNA". It matches the Rfam family "Bacterial small subunit ribosomal RNA", at positions 354 to 796 of the family's 1533-position model. The record is from RNAcentral.